RNAcentral lists this ribosomal RNA (224 nucleotides) under uncultured bacterium. Its description in RNAcentral is "partial 16S ribosomal RNA". It matches the Rfam family "Bacterial small subunit ribosomal RNA", at positions 107 to 334 of the family's 1533-position model. The record is from RNAcentral.
UGAGUAACACGUAUCCAACCUGCCGUCUACUCUUGACAGCCUUCUGAAGGAAGAUUAAUACAAGAUGCAUCAUGAGUCCGCAUGUUCACAUGAUUAAAGGUAUUCCGGUAGACGAUGGGGAUGCGUUCCAUUAGAUAGUAGGCGGGGUAACGGCCCACCUAGUCUUCGAUGGAUAGGGGUUCUGAGAGGAAGGUCCCCCACAUUGGAACUGAGACACGGUCCAA